AAUGUUGGAUAUAAGAGAUUCGUGGAAUAAAAGAUUUAUUUACUUUGCUAUGAUAUAAAUUUUAUUUUCUAUUAUAUAUAUAUAUUUAUGUUUAGAAUUAUUUAUGUAACAAUAUUCUUUAUGUUUACUUUAAUAUAGGACUACUGAAGGUUAUUAUCAAUCUUAGAGAGCACUUUAAGAUACUGGUGAUGGCGGGAACUCAUCUUCUUCAAUUGCAGGAGUACUUGGUCAGCAGUUUUUUUUGUUUCUUCAGUGAUUCUAAUAAGGUUGCAUUUUCUGAUUUGGUAAUAAGGAUUGGUGCUGGUCUAUUAUAUUAUAGUUUGGUACUAUGAGCUGUUGUGCUUUAUGAGAUAUCAUUUUCUUCUUGUCUUUUACAUUAUAUCAAGGGUUUUGGUAUGUUUGUCUUGUUUCUCGCGUCGCUAAGAAAAGGAAGGAUGUUCUGACCAUUCUUUAAAAUUGUGCUGUAAGUGAUGAAAA
Carica papaya (papaya) is the source of this 477-nucleotide non-coding RNA. NCBI's taxonomy places the organism in Eukaryota, Viridiplantae, Streptophyta, Magnoliopsida, Brassicales, Caricaceae. The record is from RefSeq and is a predicted model, not a curated record.